GCAGAGCAAAGUCAUCCAGAAAGGAGCCAGGACAGAAGGGGACUAUAGUUUUGAGGAAAGAGAUAACAAAGAUUCUGGGCUAUUAAAACAAAACCAGUGAAUGACAAAGUGCAGAAUGGAGCAUAAGAAUGGUGUUUGGAGAAUGUGGGUCCAGGAGACCCAGGCAUAACAGUUUAGACAAAUAGAUGGUUCAAGCUCUGGUGUUUAUAAGGGCAGUGGAGACAGAUGAGAAGAGGGAAGGCAAUCCUAACAGCACUUAAAUAUCUCUUCUAAGAAUGUGGAAAAUGUUUCUGUGAGCAGAAAGAAAUCCAGCUCAACGAUGCCCACCUUGGAUCUGCCUCAACACCAUUUGCAGAUACAACACAUUCCCUUCAAACC
RNAcentral lists this long non-coding RNA (378 nucleotides) under Homo sapiens (human). RNAcentral describes it as "HSALNT0246880". Lineage: Eukaryota; Metazoa; Chordata; Mammalia; Primates; Hominidae. The record is from RNAcentral.